AUGGUAGUGGUGAGAAGGAUCGAUCUAGCCCAGGGAGCCCUCCUUGGCCGACAUCCGCUUCAGGAGCUCGUAGGUGGUGACCAUGGUGGCGGCCGAGAGCGACAUGGAGCCCCACCUCGGCCCCAGCCCGCGGUAGCACGCGGCCCACCCGCCCUCCUUGAGCAGGCCCCGCACGGUGCUCCCCAGCGUUGGCCGCGCCACCGCCGCGUCCGUCUCCAUCACCUGGAGCCGCGUCUUCACCGUGUCCAGCGGCAUGGUCACCAGGGCCGCCGCGCCCCCGGCCACGGCCGCGCUGGCGCCCUGCACGGCCAUCAGGGCCGGGUAGCUCUCGGAGCGGUCGGCGCCCACGACGCGCCACGCGAAGCGCUGCGCCAUGGCGUAGGACGCCCACCACACCGCGUUGGACGGCGCGUAGGUGAUGAUGGAGAGGCCGAAGCCGCGGUAGAGGCCGCGCACGCCGUCGGCCGCGAGGAUCUUCCUGAAGGCGUCCGCGCCGCCGGCGUAGCGGCAGGCGGCGGAGGUCUGGACCAUCAGCCGCUGGCUGAUGACAUCCACGGGGGUCCAAACGACCUGCGCGGCGACGGCGGCGGAGACCCCCGCCGCGGCCGAGGCGACCGCCGACGCCGCGGGCUCGGAGACGCCGAACCGCAGCGCGGCGGACCCGACGGAGCUCUUGGUGGCCUCGAGCGCGGCCAUGUAGAGCGCGCGCGCGGGGACGGUGCCGGCCAGCGAGGCGCCGAAGCCGCGGUAGAAGCCCCGGAGGCCGUCGCGGCCGAGGAUGGCCCUGACGGUGGCGGCGGCGGCCUGCGGGGGCGGGGCCACCUGCAGGUGCGUCUUGACGACGACGGCCGGGUAGAGCGCGGCGGAGACGCCCGAGAAGAGGGCCGCGCCGAGGACGAAGAAGCGGGACUUGUCGAGCAUCUCCCAGUUGACCUCCGCCGGCAGCCGCCGGAUCUCCUCCACCGCCGCCGCCGCGCCGCGCUCCUUCUCCAUGCCCGCAACGCUGAAGCUCAUCCUCUCUGCUGCUGCUGCUGCUGCUCCCCGCCAACCAGAGAAAACCCAAUCAUCCAAUCAAAUCAAUCCACGGUGACAAGAUCCAUAUGA
Molecule: ribosomal RNA, 1104 nt
Filed under: Triticum aestivum (bread wheat)
Lineage: Eukaryota; Viridiplantae; Streptophyta; Magnoliopsida; Poales; Poaceae
Description: partial small subunit ribosomal RNA
Source: RNAcentral